UCAUAUCAUCUCAUGAAAAGAAACGAGCCAAGAAACAAUCCAAGAACCGCGACUAUCUUCCGUCGUUGAACAGUCGUUCGAGAAAUGGAAGGGAUCCCGCGCAAGGUGCACAUACAGCAGGUGGCUAUACCAUCUUGGAAAGGGUGAGAGUUCACUGUUCAGUCUUGCGCCGAGCCAUUGUAAGAGCAACGAACCGGCCAACCGGGGGCAAAGACGGCAGGCGCCUACUCGCUGCCACGAUCUCACCAAUCAUUUGCGCAUUCAACCAGCUACACCACCAACCCCAGUGGUUCUCCUUCCUCAUCACCGACCUAAUUCGGCCACCGGCGGAUCCACCCCGAUAUUAUUAUUUCGAGGGUGUCGCUCGAACGCUUCGGGGGGAACGUAUUCACAAGCUUUUUCUCUCGUCAGACGUUUCUUUCCUUCCGAGAUGAAUUUAAGAAUCGAAUUACGCCUUUGGAUAUGCUUUCGUUGUCGAUUGCUCGUGUGUAAAAAGGGUGUUUUAUUUGUCGGGGAUUGGAUAUAGAAGGGAGAUUUUUUAAUUGACAGAGAGUGAAAAGAAAAUGCUAUCUAAUUAAAAGAUAUACUGUAGUUCCAUAAUUGCAAAUGAAUGGUGGAAAGAUUGAUAUAGAUUCUUGAAAAUAUUUUUAAUACAAUUUAUGUAUAUUAUAUAUUAUGCAUUAUUUAUGUAACUUUGUUAUUAUGAUGUUUUAUUCCAUUAUACAUGUGGUUCAGUACGGGUUUAUGAAUAUUUAAGCAUGAAAUUAUUAGGUAAUGUUAAUACGUUGACACCUGUGAAACUAAUUACCAACAUUAUGGAUUAAUUACUACAUAAUGAAUAGAUAAUGAGAUCAUAAUUUAUUAUAUAGUACAAUAAUAGAACGUUUAAUGAUAAUAUUAUACAAAUAAUAAUAUUGACAAAGUAUGAUGAAUCGUAACUAAAGAUUUCCUAA
Apis mellifera (honey bee) is the source of this 953-nucleotide long non-coding RNA. RefSeq lists it as uncharacterized. The record is from RefSeq and is a predicted model, not a curated record. The transcript has 3 exons. NCBI's taxonomy places the organism in Eukaryota, Metazoa, Arthropoda, Insecta, Hymenoptera, Apidae.